This 253-nucleotide ribosomal RNA is filed under the name uncultured prokaryote. RNAcentral's name for it is "partial 16S ribosomal RNA". It matches the Rfam family "Bacterial small subunit ribosomal RNA", at positions 524 to 776 of the family's 1533-position model. The record is from RNAcentral.
UACGGAGAGUGCAAGCAUUAAUCGGAAUUAUUGGGCGUAAAGGGCGCGUAGGCGGGUUUAUAAGUCAGAUGUGAAAUUCCAAAGCUCAACUUUGGAGCUGCAUUUGAAACUGUAGAUCUAGAGGAUUGACGGAGAAAACGGAAUUCCACGUGUAGCGGUGAAAUGCGUAGAUAUGUGGAAGAACACCUGUGGCGAAAGCGGUUUUCUAGUUUAUACCUGACGCUGAGGCGCGAGAGCAAGGGGAGCAAACAGG